UGGAUCUUUGUGAUGUAAAUUUUCCAGGAUC
This 31-nucleotide non-coding RNA is filed under the name Mus musculus (house mouse). Lineage: Eukaryota; Metazoa; Chordata; Mammalia; Rodentia; Muridae. The record is from RNAcentral.